AUGGCAAGAUGGAGCACGCAUCUGAGGGAGGGAAGGGUUGUACCUGGUAUUUUCCACAGCCCCCGGAGUGCAGCUGUACCCAUUUACCGCCUUUGGUUCACUAGCACCUGGGGAGAGGACAGAAGCACAAUGACCGUGUGCCUCAGGAACAGGACAGCAAGGACUUCCACCCGCAGGUCAGCCUGGAUACUGCAGCCGAGGGGUGUCCUGAGCUUUGUGGCAGAACCAGCCAGAGCAGCAGUUCCAUCUGCAACGCGCCUGUAUCCAGCCCUGCUCAGAAACAUUGUGGAAGACAUCCAGUCGUGCAUGACAGUUGGGAGUCAAAAAGUCCAUCUCUAUAUUACCUAA
This 348-nucleotide long non-coding RNA is filed under the name Anser brachyrhynchus (Pink-footed goose). RNAcentral describes it as "lncRNA (ENSABRG00000014785.1)". Lineage: Eukaryota; Metazoa; Chordata; Aves; Anseriformes; Anatidae. The record is from RNAcentral.